GCCUCGAUAGCUCAGUAGGUAGAGCAGAGGACUGAAAAUCCUCGUGUCGGUGGUUCAAUUCCGCCUCGAGGCACCA
RNAcentral lists this transfer RNA (76 nucleotides) under Clostridiales bacterium. Its description in RNAcentral is "tRNA-Phe". It matches the Rfam family "tRNA". Rfam says of the family: Transfer RNA (tRNA) molecules are approximately 80 nucleotides in length. Lineage: Bacteria; Bacillati; Bacillota; Clostridia; Eubacteriales. The record is from RNAcentral.